Molecule: ribosomal RNA, 468 nt
Filed under: uncultured bacterium
Lineage: Bacteria
Description: partial 16S ribosomal RNA
Rfam family: Bacterial small subunit ribosomal RNA
Source: RNAcentral
GACGAACGCUGGCGGCGUGCUUAACACAUGCAAGUCGAACGGAAAGGCCCUGCUUUUGUGGGGUGCUCGAGUGGCGAACGGGUGAGUAACACGUGAGUAACCUGCUCUUGACUUUGGGAUAACUUCAGGAAACUGGGGCUAAUACCGGAUAGGAGCUCCUGCUGCAUGGUGGGGGUUGGAAAGUUUCGGCGGUUGGGGAUGGACUCGCGGCUUAUCAGCUUGUUGGUGGGGUAGUGGCUUACCAAGGCUUUGACGGGUAGCCGGCCUGAGAGGGUGACCGGCCACAUUGGGACUGAGAUACGGCCCAGACUCCUACGGGAGGCAGCAGUGGGGAAUAUUGCACAAUGGGCGGAAGCCUGAUGCAGCGACGCCGCGUGCGGGAUGACGGCCUUCGGGUUGUAAACCGCUUUCGCCUGUGACGAAGCGUGAGUGACGGUAAUGGGUAAAGAAGCACCGGCUAACUACGUG